GGGGGUGUAGCUCAGUGGUAGAGCAUGAAUGAAAUCCUGAGUUUAAUCCCUAGUACUCUCA
This 61-nucleotide transfer RNA is filed under the name Dipodomys ordii (Ord's kangaroo rat). It matches the Rfam family "tRNA". Rfam says of the family: Transfer RNA (tRNA) molecules are approximately 80 nucleotides in length. Their secondary structure includes four short double-helical elements and three loops (D, anti-codon, and T loops). The record is from Rfam by way of RNAcentral. Lineage: Eukaryota; Metazoa; Chordata; Mammalia; Rodentia; Heteromyidae.